UGCAAGUCGAGCGGUAACAGGAAUUAGCUUGCUAAUUUGCUGACGAGCGGCGGACGGGUGAGUAACGCGUAGGAAUCUGCCUAGUAGUGGGGGACAACAUGUGGAAACGCAUGCUAAUACCGCAUACGCCCUACGGGGGAAAGGAGGGGAUCUUCGGACCUUUCGCUAUUAGAUGAGCCUGCGUAAGAUUAGCUAGUUGGUGGGGUAAAGGCUCACCAAGGCGACAAUCUUUAGCUGGUCUGAGAGGAUGAUCAGCCACACUGGGACUGAGACACGGCCCASACUCCUACGGGAGGCAGCAGUGGGGAAUAUUGGACAAUGGGCGCAAGCCUGAUCCAGCCAUGCCGCGUGUGUGAAGAAGGCCUUCGGGUUGUAAAGCACUUUCAGAAGUGAGGAAGGGUGAUUGGCUAAUAUCCAAUUAUCUUGACGUUAGCUUCAGAAGAAGCACCGGCUAACUCUGUGCCAGCAGCCGCGGUAAUACAGAGGGUGCGAGCGUUAAUCGGAAUUACUGGGCGUAAAGCGCGCGUAGGUGGUUUGUUAAGUCGGAUGUGAAAGCCCAGGGCUCAACCUUGGAAUUGCACCCGAUACUGGCAGGCUAGAGUACGGUAGAGGGGUGUGGAAUUUCCUGUGUAGCGGUGAAAUGCGUAGAUAUAGGAAGGAACAUCAGUGGCGAAGGCGACACCCUGGACCGAUACUGACACUGAGGUGCGAAAGCGUGGGGAG
This 723-nucleotide ribosomal RNA is filed under the name Marinomonas sp. RNAcentral's name for it is "bacterial SSU rRNA". It matches the Rfam family "Bacterial small subunit ribosomal RNA", at positions 56 to 768 of the family's 1533-position model. The record is from RNAcentral. Lineage: Bacteria; Pseudomonadati; Pseudomonadota; Gammaproteobacteria; Oceanospirillales; Oceanospirillaceae.